AAUAUUGCACAAUGGGCGGAAGCCUGAUGCAGCGACGCCGCGUGAGGGACGACGGCCUUCGGGUUGUAAACCUCUUUCAGCAGGGACGAAGCGCAAGUGACGGUACCUGCAGAAGAAGCGCCGGCCAACUCCGUGCCAGCAGCCGCGGUAAGACGUAGGGCGCAAGCGUUGUCCGGAUUUAUUGGGCGUAAAGAGCUCGUAGGCGGCUUGUUGCGUCGACUGUGAAAACCCGUGGCUCAACCAUGUGGUCUGCAGUCGAUACGGGCAGGCUAGAAUUCGGUAGGGGAGACUGGAAUUCCUGGUGUAGCGGUGAAAUGCGCAGAUAUCAGGAGGAACACCGGUGGCGAAGGCGGGUCUCUGGGCCGAUAUUGACGCUGAGGAGCGAAAGCGUGGGGAGCGAAC
This 402-nucleotide ribosomal RNA is filed under the name uncultured bacterium. RNAcentral's name for it is "bacterial SSU rRNA". It matches the Rfam family "Bacterial small subunit ribosomal RNA", at positions 360 to 773 of the family's 1533-position model. The record is from RNAcentral.